CGGUCGUUCUGUGGAGCAUUCAUGAUCAUGUGUCUACUUUGGCAGCAGACCAGGGUGAUGCAAAGUCUCCUGGAUCUGGAGCAAGUAACCCGAAACCUUCUGCCGAUGGCCCUACUGUUCAAGCUCGAGGUAUUUUCCAAGGACAUGAUGAUACUGUUGAAGAUGUUCAGUUUUGCCCUUUCAGGUAGCUAUCACAUCUCCCACAUUGUAUAAGAUGUUUAAUUUAGUCCUUCAGUUUUUUUGUUAGGAGUUGUGAUACUUGAUGUUGCUUGGGUUAAAAAUCCUUCAUGUAACGUGAGCUUGACUGAAGAUGAGCUAAUACUCGUAUGAGCUGUCACGUCACAUGUCAGACUUCUUUUUCUUCUCAAUCAUGUCUUAGAAAUUUCAAUCUUAUGCCAUUCUAGUCCUCUAUUCCUCUUUUUUACCUGGAUGAAGUGGUUUACUUGCCACUUUUCAUAUAAAAGAUACAGGGAAAAAAUCGAAGAAGACAGAAGAAAGAAAAGCAAUUUAUUCAUAGCUUAUCCUGGCUUAACACAUCCUUACUGGAUUCUUCUUUUUGGAUAAAAGUGCACAGGAGUUUUGUAGUGUUGGAGAUGAUUCCUGCCUAAUACUGUGGGAUGCAAGAACUGGUUGGUCUCCUGUUGUCAAGGUUGUAUUCGUAUCUUUUACUCAAGCACUUGGUAACUUAUCUUGUUUUAUACCUUUUCUUUGUGGAUAUGCGGAGAACUUCACUUAUUUGUGUUGUGUAGUAAAUCUUGGCGAUAUUUGGUAAUUAAGCUUGAGUAUAGUAAAUCUUGGCGAUAUGUGGUGGUGAAUAGAGCAGGAUUUAAGGAGAAAUGGCGAUGCAUAAUUGUUAAUUAUGAGGGGUAGUGAUAAUUCAUAUACUUUUUUUGUAUAGCCCUUUCAGAAGAAAACCACAUAAUGCCAAAGCUAGGUACUUGUUGACUUCUGUAUUCUAUUCCGUCCAUCCAAUUUAAUAAUUAGUUUGACUUGGCACACUUAUUUAGGGAAGAGUUGGAAAUAGGAGUUUAGUAUUUGAUAGGAGAGCAUAUUGGCCUGUACAUUAGAUUUUAAUCUUUUCGGAGAAUAGAUUUGAGAAAAUGUUGUAUUGCAAAGACUAUAAUGGGUCCCAUGUAAUUUUCUUGGUAUAGAAAAUGUUUGCAACCCAUUAAGUUAUUGACUCUUCCACUUAUCAUCAGUCUUUCCAUUUAAUUAUGCUGAAAUGUCUCCCUUCUUUUUUUUCUUAUCAUUUUUAUUUCUAUGAUCAUUACUAUAUUAUUUGCUGCUUCUUUUAGUCAUUAUCAUGUCUCUAAUUGGACUUGUGCGAACUGAAAAUUUUCCCUGCAGGUAGAAAAGGCUCACAAUGCUGAUCUUCAUUGUGUUGAUUGGAAUCCUCACGAUGUAAAUUAUAUUUUGACUGGGUAAUGAUUGUAACUGUUCAUCCUGUUGAACUAUAUAAAGGUGUUUUAAGUAGGUUGAUCCUUGAAAAAUGCAAUUAAGCUUUCUGUAAUGUUUAUGUGAUGUUUAUCCUUGUUUUUUCCCUGUGUGUGUAUGUCUGGUUCCAUGAUUCCAUGGAAGCUUUUCAAUUUUUAUGGAAGCCUUAAGAUUAUAGCUAUGCCUCCUUCAGGUCAGCAGACAACACCGUCCGCUUGUUUGAUCGACGAAACCUAACUUCUGGGGGUGUGGGAUCUCCUAUACAUAUCUUUGAGGCCCAUACUGCUGCUGUGCUUUGUGUACAGGUUUGAGAGUUACUGACAUGUUUGCUUGGGUUUGCUGUUCACCCUUAUUUACGUUGAUAAGGGUAGCCUAUUUGCAUGCGACCUGCACUGAUGUUUGAUAAAAAUUGUCUGUUUCAGUGGUCCCCAGAUAAAUCAUCAGUCUUUGGAAGUUCGGCAGAAGAUGGUAUCCUGAACAUCUGGGAUCAUGAAAGGGUUAGAGAUCCUUAUCUUCUUAUUUCUUUUUUGCUUACCUUUCCAUAUGGACCAUAUACUGAGGAAGUUCUUCUCGUUAAUGGUGAAAAUCUAGUUGUUUGUAAUUCUUUCAACAGACACUUUCAUGACUUGCAUAAAGUAAUCUAUUCAUAUUAUCCAAUUAUUUUGAAAACCAGAGUUUUUAUGAAUAAAACCGAAGAGGCUCUAAAUUGAUUGCUACUUUUUUUUCUUGGGUAUUAUUUAAGCACCCUUCUGUUCCUAGUAAGGCGACAUUAUUUGUUAGGCUUCACGAUAUUAAUAAGCCUUUUCUUUGAUCUAUCUAUUGUCUGUCAAUAUUUACAUGGUUAUAGCGUAUCAUUUGCUUCAUUCAAGUGGUGACUUUGUUAUGAUUUAAGGACUUUGUUCCUAUCUAAUUGUCAAAAGAAAUUAUACUUCACUGUCAGUAGUUUUUAUGAAAAUUAUUUUCUCCCAGAUUGGUAAGAUGGAGAGCUCGGCUGGUACAAAACGCAAAACAUCUCCUCCUGGCUUAUUCUUUUGUCAUGCUGGACAUAGGUAUAAAUUUUCUGUACCAUUUUAUACCAAAUUUUGUUUUUAUGGUUCCAGUUCUCUUUUCCUUCUAUAUCCUUAAUGCGUUAGUGGGGAUGCUUCUGAUUGACUUAGUAAGCGUCUGGCCAUGAACCAAAAAAAUUUGGAGUUGAGUUGGAGUUGUGUUUGGCCAUGAAUAUAAAUUGGAGUUGUUUUUGAGUUUAUGUGAGAAAUGAGAUGGAGAACUUUUUCAAAUACAAUUCCAAAUUGUAUUUGGAAUUCUCAUGGCCAAACCCUACUAUUUCACUAAAGUCAAAUAAUUUUUAGGAAAAAGGUGAAAAGUUCUCAUGGCCAAACGCCCUAUUAUUAUGAAAGCACCCACCCUGGGUCUCCAAAAGAAAAGAAAAAAGUGAAAAUAGUGGGGUGGUGGGUGUCAGGUGGCAAAUUCUAUACAACGAAAAGAGUAAUUCCACGCCAGUGAUAUUUUUAUUGUUGUGUGUCAACAAACAAUCAUUUCAUUGACCUUGCACCAAGAUGGUGUCUAAUUUUUAUGGUCGUACGUGUACUAUAGAUGCCCUGCUGCAUAGAUAAACAUCUCUGGUGCAGGCUUCCCUAACAACCUCUGUAGCCAUAAGUAGCAAUUGCAUUCUAGGGAUAUUUCUCGGCCAUGUAAACGGUAAAUCCAUUGGCACUGUGCAGUGCAUCAGGACAUUGGCAAUCUCCUGCGAUCCAGAUUGGAAGCUAUAAAUCCCCUCCGCAAGGCUCGAUAAAUCGUCCAUGACCGAGAAAUCAUUCUAUUCACUUGAAUAGGAUCUCUUGACCCAGAAGUUCGUAACUGCUCAUUCUUCAUUCUUUCAAUUCUCUUCAAAGUGAAAACUGGAGGAGUUGAUUUUCCUCCUCCUUGAGACACAGCUAACCAUGCCUGCUUCUGAAGAUCGGUAUUGUCUUCAAUAACACACCUUCCUAUUCAAAUAUAAACUGCUACCCAUCCACAAACAAUCCUUUCUUGUGUAUGGAAUGGAUUUGUAGCGUUAGAGUUGACUGACAAUGAUUUGGGUAGUUAAGAAAUGUCUUACAUAUAUUCCAUUUGGAAUAAAACCAUCUUGAUGCCUUCUGUAUUUGUACAUUGUGAUUAUCAAGCUUCAAUAACUGUGGUAAAAACAUAAAGCCUUCAGUGACAUAGGCAUAGUAGGCUAACACAGUUGUUUAGAGAUAAAAUCAUCUCUGUAGAUAUAGUAAACUAAGUGCAUAUGGGGAAUCCUCUAAUUGAACAUUUGGGAAGGUCUGAUAAGCGAAACAUUGAGGGUAGAGACGAACCCAGGAUUUGAAGAUGAGGGGGGGCACGACUAUCUUUAACAUAGUCAUGCCAAUUACUAGCUACAAAGUUUGGUGUGCAGCUCUCAUAAAACCUAAAACUUACUACAUAGUCAUGCCAAUUACUAGCUACAAAGUUUGGUGUGCAGCUCUCAUAAAACCUAAAACUUACUAUAAAUUAUGAGCAAAGUAAAAAUUCAAAAUGAUUGAAUAUCAUUAAUCUAUGUAACAAAAGUACAUCGUCCAUUCAUAGUUGACUUUGAUGCACUUUCAUAUUUUGAAAGCGGUUGGUGGUAAUACCUUUGCUUAUCUUGUCAAAUAUGUCCUUGAUGCUACAAGCUAAACAAUCAUUUAAAAAUGCAUUACUAAUACUGCCUCGCAAUUCAUUCUCGAUAUGCUUCGUGGAUGAGAUUGCAGUAUACUGCUACGGGUAAAAUUAAUGUCAACUCCACAAGUACACAAGUGGAUUAAUUAAAAGCAGAGUAGAUUCUCUUUUCUCUUUUGUUAGGGGAGCUCAGAGAGUUCUCACUUAUAUUUAUGCCUGCUUAUUUUGAAAAAGAAAACUACGUAAAUUAAUGCCUACAUUCAUUUAUACUCUAUGGAUGGAGUUCUAACUUUGUGAAUGUAAAUAGGGAUAAGGUGGUCGAUUUCCACUGGAAUGUGUCAGAUCCAUGGACGAUUGUUAGUGUCUCAGAUGAUGGUGAAAAAACUGGUGGAGGUGGUACAUUACAGGUAACAUCCUAACUUGUUUAUUAUGCUGGUUAGUUGCUUUCUAUCCUUCAUACUAAGUCGACCUACAUAUACAUAUUAUAAUUUUCAGUAUCUGAUGGUUACUGAUUAAAUUAGUGUUUGAAUUCUAUGCUGCGUUUAUUAAAUUUUAAAUGAUGGUUGGCGCACAAUAAAUUCAAUGAGGGAGCCUGAUAAAGUUUGAAUGACAUCUGGUUCUCUGUGAAAAUUUGUUGCUUUUGUCAUUUAUGUAAAGCCCAAAUAUGAUAUGUGGUCGUGCAUUGGAAUCUUUAGUUGAUGUUUCUUAGAGCUGACUGUCCAAUCUUUUGCAGAUAUGGCGAAUGAUUGAUCUCAUUUACAGACCACAUGAUGAGGUUCUAAGUGAACUGGAGAAGUUCAAGUCUCACCUGCUUACUUGUACUUAAUAUCUCCAGAUAUGUGAUGUCACAGAUGUUCAAGCCAUGUUAAUGGGAAGAACAACACCAAGCUAGAAAUUUGCUGACUCUAUCAAAUGACUAGCUUUUGAGAUUUAUGUAUUGAAUGAGUUUAUUUAGUUUUAUCAUUGACUUUAAAAGAUUUAUGAAAACACAUUCUAGACUUUAAAUCUUCUCGUUGACUUUAUUUGGCGUUUGGUUAAAAUAUACUGUGGAUCUUUCUUUCCACAGUUCUAAUCCGAACACUAGGGCUCGUUUGGUUAGGGUAACAAGUGUUAAUCCCAAGAUUGUUAUCCCCUCCUCAAUGUUGGACAAAAAUAAUACUUACUAUUAUUCCAGCAUAACUUGUCACGGGUAGAGUCAUCUCAUGAUUUUAUCCCAACUUAACUUGGGAUAAUUGAUACAAGAAAGGCACAAAAACAUACACUAAAAUAGUCAACGAUUUCAAGAACCGAGGAUCCCUUUGAUGACCUCUCUCGGAUUCAUAAGAAGAAUAAGAAAGGAAGUGACAUCAAGAGUAAUACACACUAAAAACAAUAAAAACACUUGAUGAACAAGAUGCAAUAACAACAACACAAGAACACAAAUGGAUUACAUUAGAUGUAGACAAACGAUUACAAGAAAGUGAAGAUAGAUAGAUAGACAAAUGAAGAUGUAAUAUUAACAAUCCAAAAGCUUAUUUCACUUUUGGACCUUUAAUAUCACACACAACCUAAACCUAUCUCUUACGUGACCUCAAGGGAACCGGAACCCCCAAGCGAUCUCCGUUUCUAAGCAAAUCAUCAAUACAAGGAUAAAGAGGCUCUCAAAAAAGGCUACAAAUAUCAUCAAAAAUCUCUCCUUAAGAUGAAGGCAAACUAGCUAUUUAUAGGUCAUGGGUCUUUAUUACACAAUGGACCCAAAAGUGACCCUAAAAGAUAUUGGGCCCAAAAGUGACCCAAAGCCCAAAAUAAUGUUAUGGGCGUCCAUGCUCUCUCGAAGCCCACACUAUCUUCCAAACACGUCGUGGCUCAAUGCUCCCGUGGAUGACAUCAUCAAAUGUAGCUUCUCCUGCGCUCCAAGCUAUCAUCCACACACGUAUUUGUUCCCCCAAAACAACUAAAUCUUGGAUCCAUAGAUGUGAUCCUUGAAGCAUCGAUCCCAAAGGAGUGGAGCCCAUUGGUCUUGUAUCAAUAAUUCAUCCUAAAUCAAUCUCGAGGUAAGUUAUCUUUUAUCCCUCGUACGAGACGAGCCCUAAGGUCCAAGCAUAGAAGUGUGGGAUUUCAAUGGCUAGAAAAUAGUUAAAAACUAAUCAGUGAGUAAUAGAAGGUUUUAUUAAUCAAAUUCUUAUCUCUAUAAUCCUUUUAAUAUGCUUAUUGCGGGGCAAGACUACUUUUCUAUUUACUUGAUCGCGCAUCCUUUUAUUAGAUUUUCUAAAAUGAACAUAAGCUUAGUAAUAUCGCGUGGUAUUUUCAUUAAAUUUUCUGUAUAUAUAUAAAUUCCAUAAUUUCUUGCAGCCACUGCGGACUACUAUUUUUAUUUUUUAUUUUUCCAAACAAAGCGGCAGUUAUUGCAAGUUACACCCAGUAGCAAGUAAUAAUUGCAACAUUACUGAUAUAUCUUCUGUAAAGAAGAUCAAAUUGAUGAAAGUGUUUCUAUUUUAGCUCGAGUAGUUAUUGGCUUAGUAUUUUUUUUCAUCUAAAUAUGGUUGAUUCACUUAGACCAGCUUAGUUGGGUUCAAAUUCUGUGUCUAACUAAACUUUUCUCGGAAACUCGGAUAAGAAAUUAUCAUAAAUACCUUGUGAGCUUCCAUAAUGCAAAUGCUUAAUGCCAAAUGUUGUUUUUUGAUACUAAAAUAAUGCAAAUAACAACGUGAAAGUUGAUAAUUUAAUUCGUAUAUCUUAGGUUACUUUAAAUAUUAAUUGUAGGAUCGAAAUCAUUAGUGGAGUAUGAGAAAAUUGAAUGUAAGUAGAUCUCAUUUAUAUCUUACAGGCCACAGAGAGUCUGUUUCCAAAUAUAUGAUUGAAAAAUUAAUUUAAUAAGAAUGUCAUAUUAAUGUUUAAGAUACAAUUUAAAAUAAUCGACUAACUUAUUAUAGAAAUAAAAAAUUACAAAAGGCUUAUAAAAUAAAUUACUUUCAUGUUAUUGACGAUUAUUGAUCUCCUAUAUUAUAAUCUUCUCUCGCAUUUCUCUUACCUCAAAUUUCUUUUAAUUAAAAAUAAAUCUAUUAGUAAUAGAAAAAUGUUGAAUUACUUGGUAAACAUAUCAUAAGGGCAAAAGAAUGAGAUAAACGGAUAGAGCAACAUGAAUAAAGAAACACAAAAAAAGAGAAUUAAAUAGAAAAACCUGUAAAUAGAAAUACUACUACUUAUAAAAUACUGUAGUUUUCGUUUUCGUUGCAUAAAAGAAAAAGGCUGGGUGUGUAGCUCCAUUGUUCACAGUUGAGUGAUGAAGAUGGAUAAUCAAAGAUCAUUGUGUUGGCUCAUUGGCAUCUUCAUUUCUCUGUUAUCUUCAGCUCACUCCUUUUAUCUUCCUGGUGUUGAUCCUCGAGAUUUUCAAACUGUAUGUUCACGACACUCAAUCUUUUUUAUUUUUUUGUAAGACAAAAAUAUAUGAGUCUUUUUUUGUUGGAUUAUGGUGUUAAUAACAAUAUUUUGAAUGAUUAGGGGUUUUUGAUAAUCUUGGGGUUUUAGUAAUUUAUGUGUUAAAGUCCCGCAUCGAAAAAGGAUCAGUAGCAAUCCUCCUCAUGAGCUAGAUUUUGAGGUUGAGUUAGGCUCAAGAUUCAUUCUUUACAUGAUAUCAGAGUCAGACUCAUUCUAAAUCUUUGUUCACCGUUGUUGGUGGGCCCCUAUAUUAUAUUGUGUUCACGCUCCAGUUAGGUUUGGGCCUCAUAUUAUAUUGUGUUCACGCUCUAGAUCUUUGUUCACCGAUGUUGGACCCCCAUAUUAUAUUGUGUUCAUGCUCCAGUCAAUGAGGUUUGGGCGUGGUGGGAGUGUUAAGUAUUUCACAUCGAAAAAGGGUUGACUAUCUCACAUCGAAAAAGGGAUAGGAGUUAGCACAUUUGAUUGAUACUUAAGCUUUGCUUUCCAGCUUAAGCUAACAGAAUUUUAUCAUUUCUAGUAGUAAUCAUAGAUAACUCAUAGGAAUAACAUAUUAAUUAGUUAUAAUUAAUUAAUAUGAAUGAUCAUUUUAUUAAAUUAAUUAAAUAUACUAAAUUUAAAUAAUUUACUUUAAAAAAAAAGAAGGUAAGUAAUUAUACUUACCAUAUUCAAAUUAAACUUAAAUGGGAAAUAUAUGAAAGAUGUAGGAUCCACCACUCACCACUCAUGUAAUUUGUGGCAAAUUGAAAAGUAAAAUGAGACUCAUCCCCCUAUCCUUUAGGAGUCGUUUGGUAGAGUUUAUAAGAACAAUGUAGAAUAUAGUGUAUUAAUUAUGCUUGUAUUAGUUAUGCUGAUAUUGUUUCUUAUACGUUAUUUGGUUUGAUGUAUUAGAGAUAAUAUAUCUUACAUAAUUUUUAUAAAAGAAAUGUUUGUUUACAAAAAUAUCCUUCUUUGACUUUGUACACUUUUUUGCAACAAAGUUCUUUUGCCAUCCCAAACAUAAUUAGUAUUAUUGAAUUAGUAUAUAGAGGUUUAGGAUUAAUUGCAAGACCCUUCGUCUUUGCGAAUGAAAUGUUACGCCGGCGGAUUAGCAUAGUUGGAACAAAAAUUGAAUACAAGAUGUAAAAUUAAGAAAUAGUCUCAAUUUUUUUUUAAUCUUUUACAAAAACCCUCGAAGCAAAGCAAAAAUUUAUUGGAGUUAUUUAAACCAACUAUUCAUCUUUGUAAAUUAAAAUGGUGGGAAAAGAAAUUGAAAUAUUUUGAAAGGGAAAUUGAGGGGUAUUAAGGUCAUUUAAUAAGUCAAUGCGUGUGUUUAAAGUCUUUGUAUUACUAAUAGUAGGAAAUGAUGUGUAUUAGUAGUACAUACCUCAAUACACAAUAGAGUGUAUAACUAAUGUUUGCAUUAGUUAUACCUAGGCAAAAAGAUGUAUCAAAUAAGGUACUAGCAGUACACAUUAAUUAAUGCAUGCAUUAUAUUUUUCAGUACACUCUACCAAACGACCCCUUAAUGAUAUUUGUGUUCAUAUUGUAGGGGCAUGAUGGUAAUAAAAUAGAAAAAGAGAGGUUUUCUAUAUUGUUUUCGAGUUAUCUGGCGUUUCAAAAUGAGAUUUUGAUUACAUUUUUAGUCGAUUAUUAUUGUGUUCUGCAAAUGAAUUUUACUGAUUGAGUAUAGUCAUCGUAGAGUUGACAAUUAAGAAAUAAAGAUGGACCCAUGUGUAUGAAUGGGGUGCACCUGCACCCAUUAAAUUUUCAAUUUGUCGCAUUUCAUUUAUUUUUCUGUUUUAAUUUAAAAAGCUUAAAUAUAACAAAAGCUACAAGUUCGGGAUCCCAACCCGCAUCAAUUUCCAUAUUAUGCACGACUUUUAUCAUUGAAUUACCACUCUUAAUUGUCUUGACAAAGUUAAACUUCAAUUAUUAGCUCAGAAUCCAUCCUUAACUUAUAUACUUGUAUUUUACCAUUGCCGACGUCACUAGUGACCCCUCAAACACGAUAUUAUCCUUCAGUAGUCAUUUAAAAUUUCGCUAAUCUUCAAAUUCUGACUUCGCCUCUAUUAGGAAAAAUCACAGUAGGCAGAGAGACCUGGGUGUUGGGAACAAUCCUUAGAUGUAUAAAAGGAAUUUGUAACCAUGAAUUUCUCGUGUUUAUUGUAGAGUUAGGAAAAAUCCUUCAGUAAUUUUCUGUUUCGUUUGAGCAAGAAUUUUUUCACGUAAAAAUACCUACGUUACUUUUAACAAUUCAUACUUUAUCUUCUCGUAUUAUUUCUGAAAGAACAUGAAUAUUGCGAGCGAUAGACUACAAUUACUUACCAGUUACACAUUCAAAUUUGGAAAAGUGAUUCUAACCAUCUUAUCGAAAGGAAAAACCUCACAAAAGUUCAACAUUUCUUCAAAUAAAAUACUUAUUCCAACACAACUUCAAUAUUCAAAUAUCAUUAUCAGAACUUAAUUUUUUCAAAACAUCACUAAAAAAGGAAAACCAAAAUCCAAAUAUGGUAAGAUGAAAAACCUAGAGGAAUAGAAAAACCUAAGUAGUACACAAAAAUUCAUUUUUUCUUCCAACAUGAAUGUGUAAGAGUACUAUAUAUAUAAGUGGAAUCUUAUAAGGGGCACAGACUGUUUUGCGUGUUGGGUUCUCCCUCUCAUUUCCAUUAGUAGUAGAAAAAAAAAAAAGCCUUUUCAGCAGCAGAGGCAGAGAGAGGCGGGAAAAGGGAAAAAACAGAGAGAAAAUGAAUGGAAGAACAGACAAAGGCAGAGGAGGAGAAGAAGAAGAGGCGCUGCAGUCGGUGGAGGAGCGUUAUACGGAGUGGAAAUCACUCAUUCCUGUUCUCUACGAUUGGCUUGCUAAUCAUAACCUCGUUUGGCCUUCCCUCUCUUGUCGGUUCGUAUAUAUAUAUGUACAUUCACUCAUGUUCCUUUAAUUUCUAUCCAUGUAUCUAGGGUUUUGUUGACUUGUGCUGUCUUUUGGUCGGUGCGUUUGGCUUGUUGAAUUGGCUAUUGUUAGUUUUGGUCUACUCGUAGUAUUUAUGAUUUUGGUGCGUUUGGCUUGUUGAAUUGCUCAUUUUUAGUUUUGGCCUACUUGUACAAUUUAUGGUUCGGUGCGUUUGGUUUGUUGAAUUGCUUGUUGCUAGUUUUGGCCUACUCAUACUAUUUAUGGUUCGGUGCGUUUGGUUUGUUGAAUUGCUCGUUGUUAGUUUUGGCCUACUCCUACUAUUUAUGGUUCGGUGCGAUUGGCUUGUUGGAUUGCUCGUUGUUGGUUUUGGCCUACUCGUACUAUUUAUGGUUCGGUGCGUUUGGUUUGUUGAAUUGCUUGUUGUUAGUUUUGGCCUACUCGUACUAUUUAAGGUCCGGUAAAUCUGGCUUGUUGAAUUGCUCAUUAUUAGUUUUGCCCUUCCCUCUGUUGUCUGUUCGUGUAUAUAUACACACACACACUUACAUCCUCAUUCCUCUAUUUGUCCUUAAUUUCUAUGUAUCUAGGGUUUUUUCAACUCGUAUUUUUUUAUUGUUCGCUGUGUUUAGCUUGUUGGGUUGCUCAUUAUAAGUUUUGGUGCAUUUAUUGUUUUGUUUGUUUGGCUUGACUUGACACAUCGGUUAAGAGAUUAAGUAUCUAUUCGGCCAUGUUUCAUUUUCAAAGUGAAAAUAAUAUUGAAAAUUGGAGUUGUGUUUGUCCAUGAAAUAAAUUAGAGUUGUUUUUGAAUUUUCGUGAGUAAUUUGUAGUGGAAAAAUUGAAAACAGGCUUUUGUUGUUUUUGGGACUUUUGAAAAUAGUGAAAAAAAGUAAAAAACAGAACUUUUUGGAAUAUUAUCUCCAACUGUUUUUUCCACGGCCAAACAGGCAAGAAACUUUUGAAUCAGCGGUCUUAAACAUAAAAUACGUAGAAUGUAACAAAAUGUCCUUUAAAAGUCACCAAAAAGAGAAAUAUUCAUUCAUUUUGAAAUGGUCUAAAAAGGAAAGUAACACAAAUAAAUUGAAACAAAGGGAGUAAUACUUGGUCUAUAGUGAAAAAUUCUAUUUUUUGGCGCGAAGUACUAAUUGGUUUCAUUAAUGGCAUCAAAAGGGAUGCAAAUAAGCUACUCCCCUAUGUUUUAAUUUGUUUGUAUUAUUUUGAUUUGACACAAAGUUUAACGUAAAUACGGCUUUUGAAUCUUGUGGUAUUAAACUAAAGAUAUGCAGAAUGUACCAAACUGUCCCUUAAUCUCGUGGUCUUAAUUUGAAAAGUUGGCAAAAAAGGAAAGAGACAUUCUUUUUGAAAUAGACUAGAAAGGAAAAUAAAGACAAACAAACUAAAAUAGACGGAAUACAAAAUAUAGAAGCAAAAAUUAAAAUGCCUGUUUGUUCCUUUCAAUUCAUAUGCUCCAGAAAAAUUAUUGUAGGUACCAACUUCCAUAUUUUCUAAUAGUAGUAGUUGUAGGUAAAAGGCCUUUUUAGCAGGCCUAAUCAGUGAGUACUAAAUAAGAGCAGAAAGAGAGGCGGGAAAACGUGAUAGUAGGAGGAAGAGAGAAUGAAAGAGAGAAUGGUGAAAGGCAGAGAAGAGGCGCUGUCGGUGGAUGGACGUUACACAUGAUGGAAGUUUAUGAUUCCUGUUAUCUACGAUUGGCUUGCUAACCAUAAGCUUCUUUGGUCUUCUCUCUCUUGUCGAUUUGUAUUUAUAUAUAUAUAUAUAUAUAUAUAUUCACUCACAUCCUAAUUCCUUUGUCUAUCUCACUCUAUUUAUCUCUAUAUGGGGUUUCGUAAACUCACACUCCCUAUUGUUUUGUGCAUUUAGCAUUUUGAACUGCUCAUUUUUAGUUUAGUGCAUUUGUUAUUAAUACUCUUGCUCUACAGUGAUAAUUUUGUAUUUUUUUGGUGCGAAGUACUAAUUCGUUUCAUUAAUGGCAUCAAGUUGAACUUAAUAAGUUACACAAUACAACAACAACAACAUACUCAUUGGAAAUCCCACAAAGUGGUGUGUGGGGAGUGUAGAGUGUAAACAAACUUUAUUGCUACCUCUUGGAGAUAGAGAGGUUGUUUCUGAAAAUAAGUUACGAAGUAUAGAAGCACGAAGCAAAAAGCAAAAUAUGUAUUUGUUCUUUUAAAAUAAUCAUUCUGAAUCUUCAUGUUCAUUUUAUUUUUUCCUUUCUUAUACAAAUGUUCUGUAGUAAUGAGUUUCUAUUUAAUAAGUCCCUAGUCUCUGGGCACGUGCGUUUCACGUGCAAGUCCAGUCUUGUACACACGAUUUUGUCACGUGAUAUUAAUUUUAUUAAAAUACAACACCUUUAAUUUUCUUUCAAAAUAUCACCAAAAAUUCUAAAUAUGGCAAGGAGAAAAAUCCAAUCUGAUGAGGAAUAGGAAACCCUAGGUUGUAAAAUAAGUGUAUUUAUUACCAGAGCUACUAUAUUUAAGUGGAAUCCUAGAAGGCACAAACUGUUCUGCGUGUUGGGUUGACCCUCAUUCUAAUAGUAGCAGUAAGGAAAAGUCACGUUAGUAGUAAGUACUAAAUAAGAGCAGAGUAGAGAGGCAGGAAAACGUGAAACCGAGAAAUGAAAAGGAGAGCGCAGAAAGGCGGAGAAAAAGCGCCAUUGAUAGACGAAGAUUACACUCGGUGGAAGUCUUCGAUUCCUGUUAUUUACGAUUGGUUUACUAACCAUAGCCUCGUUUGGCCUUCCCUCUCUUGUCGGUUCGUAUUUAUAUACUCACUCACAUCCCCAUUCCUCUAUAUCUCCAUAUCUAGGGUUUUUGUUAACUCGCACUCCCUGUUGUUCGCUGCAUUUAGCGUUUUGAAUUGCUCAUUGUUUUAAUUUGGUGCAUUUGUUUUAAUAAUUAAUACUCUUUUACCAAUUGGUUUCGUUAAUGGCAUCAAGUAGAUGCAAUCAAGUUACAAAAUGCAACAACAACAUACCCAUUGGAAAUCCCACAAAGUAGUGUGUGGGGAGGGCAGAGUGUGCAAACUUUGCUCAUACCCCUUGGAGAUGGGGAGACUGUUUCUGAAAAUUAAUCUACAAACAUAGAAACAAAAAGCAAAAUAACCUUUUAAAAAAUUAUUUUAAAUGUUCAUGUUCAGACCCUCCCCCCACAACAUGAACAAGAAAAGGUAUCAUUGUUUUGUAAUGAUUCAAGUACUAAUAUUGUUUGAAUAAAGAUAAAUGACAAUGUAUCAUGAUAAAAUCUAGUCCUAACAUAUUCAUGUGUUACUUUACAAAAACAAAAUAAUUAGUGUAUAAUGAAUUUUGAAGAUAACAAAUGACAAUAAAAUCACAGUAAAGAGGAUGUUAUGCGUCAUCUUUCCUACAUGUACAUACCCUUUCUAAGCUUAUCUGUUUGAAUUGUACAUUAACGAGAGUUUUAACUUUGCCCCCUCUUUCCAUUUUUGGGUGUUUUAGGUGUCUGUGAGUGCAUGAGGGGUGGGGGUGGCGGUAGUUCUUGAGAAGCUACCCCUUGAAAAACUCGUGUUUAAAUAUUUCCUAUCACCCUAGACAUCCAUGUGAAAAUCAUAAUUAAGGGUCUACAAAUGAUACACUCGGAUUUUACUUACUUAUCCAAGUAGUCUUCUCUACAUCUGUUUUGUGUGAGGACAGGAGAGGAUGUGGGUAGACAUCAGUUAAGAUUCUAGUAUUUUCUUGCUGUUUGUCAAGGGACAUCAAAUUUAAUCAAACUCAGCCCUACAAUCUUGUCAUUAAGUUUGACAGUGAGUUACUUGCAGAAUAUUGGUUCAUUUAUUGUUCGGAUGCAGGUUGUCUGGCGUAUUUGAUUGCAGAUUCUUUGACAAUUGGUUUUGACUUUUAUAUUUUUCUCUUUAUUUAUGAGUCUGUUUUUUGUCUCUUCAGAGAUUCAACUGUUUUACUGAUGCUUCAGCCUUUUCAUGCUGAUGGUAUUGCUUCCUUGCUUGUUUGUCUGUGCAUAAUAAUAACUGAGAUUACUGAUUUUUCUCCUUCAGAUGGGGUCCCCAGUUUGAGCAAGCAACUUACAAAAACCGCCAGCGCCUCUACCUUUCCGAGCAGGCAAGAUGAUCAUUUCAUGUCCUUUAAUUUUUUAGAAUUGUUUUCGGUUUUGUAUCCAUUAUGCACAUAUAGGCUUCUUUCUUCGGGUUUGGACUUGAAGUGCAUAAUGAUCUUUCCUUAGCAAAAAUUCGGUACUUUGUCAAAAUAUGUUGCACUACCAUGAGGGAAUUUUUCCAUGUUGAUGGUGGUUAAUGGAACAUUGGAGAGAAGGAUGGAUUAGUCUUAUUCAUGCCAAAGAUUUGACGAGACCUCAGCCUAAACAUGACCAGGAAUUGGGAUUCAAGAUAGAGUCAAUGCCUUGAAAAAUGCAAUUCAAACUGGGCCUGUUUCUCUUUGACAUUUAUAUGCUAUGUUUCGUGAUGGUAAACACGGUAGAUUAGCCAAUAUUCUUGUUAGGUUGCUAGCAAAGAGCUUGGAUCUAUCAAGAAUAUCUGUCUGUUCAGUUUUUGCUUUAAAUUCCAUAGUGAAUGUGGUAGUUUUUGUUAUCACAUCCUUACAGGUCAGUCAUCUCAUUUCUCUUACAUCACUGCUAAAACCUCAACUUUCAUCAUAAUCCUUUUUUUUGCCCUUCCUGCAGACUGAUGGUAGCUGUCCAAAUACGCUUGUCAUAGCUAAUUGUGAAAUUGUAAAGCCUAGGGUUGCAGCAGCACUACACAUAUCUCAGGUGUUCUCCAUGUGCAUAGAUGCAAGCUUUUUCCUAUUUCUUCCUGUUGUUCUUUCCACUUUUUCACUUUUUAUGAUAUUGAUUGCCUAUUUUUCAGUUCAACGAAGAAUCACGUUCGCCUUUUGUAAAAAUGUUCAAGACUAUUAUUCAUCCUGGUGAGGUACAUCUUUCUUUGCUCCAUCUUACUAAUGGAUCCAAACAUGAAUUUGUCUCUUUUUGGCCAAGUUGUGCGGACUCUUCACAUUCGAUGCUACACCUGUGUCGGAUUCUCCAAAAAUACAUUACUUUUGGAGAAUUCGACACACAUAUUGAUAUUUUUGAAGAAUCCAAGCAACAUAGCUUUUUGGUUUAUUUCGUAAUUAGAUUUUAUUGUUAAGAAGUUGUACAACAACAUACCCAAUACGAUUUCACAAAUGAGGUCCGAAGAGGAUGGUGUAUAUGCAUCCUUACUCGUACCUUAUGAAGGUAGAGAGAUUGUUUUCGAUAUACCCCCGGCUCAAGUAAGACAUAUCAAAAUCCGUUGAAAAGAAAAUAAAGAAGUGAAAAAAGUCAAAAACGCUAUACAAAAGAUAAUGGAAACAACAAAAUCAACAACAAAUAAUACGAUAACUUGAACAAAAGAUAAUUAGUAGAUUAUGGGAGUAGGUGUUAUAGAAGUAAUUUCUCAUAGGGUGUACCGUUACAAUGAUGGAUAUUACCUAGAUGUGGCAAAAUCAGCCUAAACCUGCCAACCCAUUUAUGUUUGGGCGGGUUACUAAUCCACUUUAUUGACUGGGCUCAUUUUGACCCGCUUGGUUCCGCCCAUUUUAAAACUUGGUUCAUAUGCAACCCAAAAUUGACCCAUGAGAAAUUUUAUCUUAAUAUUUUUUUUGAGGAUGGUAACAGUUAGUCUAUAUAUAUCCACAGAGGCGCUACAUCCAAAAGAUAUAGUACCUUUUCAAAAGUAUUACAUACUACAUCAGUCCUUCCUUCUUUAUUUCUUACAAGUAGUCUAAGACAUCAAAAAUGUCUUCGGUUUGCACUAGUAUAUCCUGUUUACAUCCAAAAUAAAACAAAGCUAAGCAUUUCAGCUUCAAACUCUUAAUGCCAUUCUGCUUGUCUUCAAAACAUCUCUGAUACCUCUCCUUCCACACUAUCCACCAAAUGCAUGCUAGGACAGUAUUUUAUCUCUCCUCCUUAGAACUUGCAUUGCCAUUAUUAUUCCAGGAACUCAAAACACCUCUGAUGCUACCUGGUUUCACCCAAUUUAUCUUCCUUAGGCAAAUAAAUAUUCUCCAUAAUUGAUCUGUCCAUUUGCAAUGUAAAAAGAGAUGGUUGAUUGUCUCCCUUUGCACUCCACAUAGAAAAAGCAUCUUGAGCACAAAUGAAAUCCUCUUUUGUUGAAAUUCUCAUGUGUCGAGACAGCUUCCUUUGCCAGUAACCAGGUGAAACAAUUCACUUUGUAUGGAAUUUUGGUCUUCUAGAUCAUUUUCCAUGGCCGAUUCUCUCCUCUGUGACUUGAUAAGUUUAGUGACUUAUAUGCUUAUCCAAUAAUGAAAAUUCCUGACCCUUCUUCCUUUCUUACCUUGGUAUCCCUUUCUUCAUUCAAAUUGUUAAAUGCUACCGUUGUGGAGUAGAAAGUUGCUACUACCCACUUCUCAAUCGUUUAGAUAUCUUCUAAAAUUUAGGUUCCAACGUUGCCUAGUCCACAUUUCAGCUUCUUGUUGUAAACAUAAAUUGUAGAGAUCUGGACUCGACCUAUCCAAUUAUCAUGUGUUUCCAACAUAAUUUAAAUUCAUGGAAAAUAAACUUCAAUCACUAAUAAAAAUAUGAAGAAACAACAAUUUUUAUUGAUAAAUGAUGUGAGUACAAAUCCGUUCCUCCCUUGAUUCUUCUCUCUUGAUUUUCUCCAUAAUUCGAGGGCUGUCAGUGGCGUAUUUCUUGAACGUAGAAUUUGAUAUGAAUUUCUUCGUAAUUUGAGGGCCUCUCUUGAUUUUCUCCAUAAUUCGAGGGCUGUCAGUUGCGUAUUUCUCGAACGUAUGAUUUGAUAUGGAUUUCUCCGUAAUUCGAGGGUCGUUAGUGGCGUAUUUCUCGAAUGUAGGAGUAUUUGGAUUUAAUCUCCAUGAAAGGAGGUUUUGUGGAUCUUCUUGAUGUAUUUGAUUAUCAAGAAGAAAGGGUUUUGAUCUAUAAAUAUCCCAUGAAUUUAUUGGGACUUUGAAGAUCGUUUAUCUCUUUGUGAAUAUCCCGUGAAUUUGUGGGAUACUGGAGAUGCCUCUUGAAAAGGAUAUUUGCCCUUUUAUAUAAGCGUAAUUUAGGGUUUAGGUAGAGUAGCCAUCAAGCUAGAUUUAGGGUAAAGUAGUCCCUAAGAACUCUAACCAAAAUUGAACUCUUUUUGUAGAGUCCACAAAAUUUCAAUGUCUACAAAUGCCCCUACUUCAAGGCUUGUCGGAAUAUAAACUUGAUGAAACUCAAAGACGAGUCUUGAAGUACCGCUUCCAUCUUUAUGAUCCUCCGGUUACAGAUUUGCAUAUUUGAUUUAUGAGAGAAAAGAUUAAGGACAAAUUUGGUCCCACUGGGUGUGCCAAAAUUUGUUUGCAACAAGAUUAGCGAUAUCUGGCAUGAUUCGGAUGCAACCUGAUUGUGAUUUCUGCGUGAGAUGUAUCCUUAUGAAUCUACUUUCCAAUGCAAAAAACGACACUUGAUUCCGAUACUUCCACGUCGAGAUAUGUAAUUUAUCGUGACACUGCGCAAAGCUGAAAUAACUAGCGAACCAACAUUAGAAGGCUGUUUGCGGAGUGAUAUCUGGGAUGAUUCGGAUGCAACCUGAUUGUGAUUUCUGCGUGAGAUGUAUUUCUGUGAAUCUACUUUCCAAUGCAAAAAAUGGCACCUAAUUCCAAUACUUCCACGUCGAGAUAUGGAAUUUAUUGUGACGCUGCACAAAGCUAAAAUAACUAGAAAACCAAGAUUAGAAGGCUGUCUUUGGAGCGAUAUUUGGGACGAUUCAGAUGCAAUUUGAUUAUGGUUUUCGUGUUAGACGUAGCUCAACGAAUCUACUUUCCAAUGCAAAAAACGGAACCUGAUUCCGAUACUUCCACGUCAAGAUAUGAAAUUUAUCGCGACGCUGCGCAAAGCUGAAAUAACUAACGAACCAAGAUUAGAAGACCGUUUUUGGAGCGAUAUAUGGGACGAUUCAGAUGCAAUUUGAUGCUGGUUCCCGCGUGAGAUAGAUCUACGAGUUUAGUUUCCCACGGAAAAAAUGGCUCCUGAUUUUGAUGUUCCUAUGUCAAGAUAUGAUAGUUUUCGUGAGACUGCGCAAAACAAGUAAAAAGUGACAAAAUAGAACUGCAGGUCUGAUUUUGAAACGAUACCUGGACAGAUCUGGAGAUAAAUUGAGCGUGGUUUUUGCGUAGAACGUAGCCUCGCGAGUAUGCUUGCCAAUACUACAAGUCGUUCGUGAUUCAGACACCUCCACGAUAUGUUAUGAAGCUUCUUCCACAGACGCCCCAAAGUGCCCGAAAGCUCAAUUGUGAAAAAAAAGCAAAAAGAGGAGAAGAACGGGGGUUGAAUUUCUGCUCAGGCUGAAUUGCAAUGACUUGAUGGGGCGGUGAUGUCCUUUUAUAGACUUUGAAAGGCCCCAGUUUGAUUUCGAAAAGGAAUUUACUGAACAAGUUGUCUUCAAGAAGAACUGGGACAUCUAAGUGUCCAAAACAAUUCAAAUUCCUAAUUCUUUUCGAAGUAGGAUAACGUCAUUAUUUAAUCCUAUUAAAAUUCGAUAUAAUACUAAUAGCCAAAUCUUACAAGGUUUGGAUAUAUUUAGUUUUAAACAGAAUUUUACACUCCUAAGGAAGAGAUUGACGCUAUUCUACCCGAAUUAUGAUGACUUCGAGGAGUCGGAUUCGACAAAGUGCUCAAGCCUUGCAAAAAAACAAAAAAAAAAGAGGCUCCACAAAUACUUCAAAUCUCGUCUCUAACAGGUCCGACAAAUCAAACAUCUUGAUGAGCUUUGAAGUAGGGGGCAUCUAUAGACACGUAAAAUUUAUUGGGUCAAAUUCAUAUAAAAAUUGGAUUUGACCCAUAUUUUAUUGGGCCUAAGAUUAUUUUGGGCUAUUAAAAUAAUAAGCCCAUUUUAUUCCUCAUCAAAGACUUCAAGAUCCAUCUCAUCUUGAGGCCCAAACUUAUGCCACGUGUCAAGUGACAUGGCAUCCCAGUCAAAUUAAAGACCAAUGAAGCAAAACCACACACAUCAAAUGAUGUGGCAAUCCAAGUCAAGUUCAAGAGCCAAUGAAAUGUCGCCAAGUGUCCCAAAUGACAUGUUUUUGGCCAAUCACAAUUAACCUUGUCACGUAACAUUUGUGAUAAGCUUGAAAAUUGAAUGGAACAAUCAGAAUGAGACAGAAGAGGUCAUUUACACUUGAACUGCUUACCCCCUACAACUAUAAAUAGGAGGGUUACACAAUUUUCUAAGGUCAUUCUGCAAGCAUUGGAGGAAACUUCUGCAUUGACUACAUGACUCUUCAACGAAUUGACUAACGGAGUUCUGCCCAGAGAUUAACUCGACAAAACGAAGUGCUGUCAAACAAUUUCUGGAGAGAGAAGAAUCAAGAGAAUCACAGAAUUGUACUCACAGAUUCUUAUAAAUAAAGUUGUUAUUUUCUUUUCAUUUAUUUUUGCUUGCAGUUAAUUUCCAGCACAAUGAAAAUUUAUUGCAAACAUCAUGCCUGAAGGAAACCUUCUAUCCAUCCUUGUAGUUGAUCUUUGCUUUCAUCGCAGGCCACAAGUUCCCGAUUUCAAUUUUCUGCUGAAUGCCUCUCAAUAUUGAGAGUCUUGUCAUUAAAUAGAAAAUAUUCAAUGAUUACAUUCCUAAAGAUCUGUCUUCCUAGCCCUAAAGAUCAGUUUUUCUAUCCCUCUAAAUUCGUUAUUCUAUCCCACCAAAUCUGUUCUUACUAAGGUCACUAUUAUUCUCUUUAACUACUAAAUCAAAUCUAUGUAAUUACACUAAUAUACAACAAUAUAUGAUUACAUUAAUAUACAAUAUUUACAUCAUGCUAACACCCCCCCUCAAAUUGAUGCUGGUAGAUCAAGAAGCAUCAAUUUGCCGACGAGAAACUNNNNNNNNNNNNNNNNNNNNNNNNNNNNNNNNNNNNNNNNNNNNNNNNNNNNNNNNNNNNNNNNNNNNNNNNNNACUAAAGUCACUAUUAUUCUCUUUAACUACUAAAUCAAAUCUAUGUAAUUACACUAAUAUACAACAAUAUAUGAUUACAUUAAUAUACAAUAUUUACAUCAUGCUAACACCCCCCCUCAAAUUGAUGCUGGUAGAUCAAGAAGCAUCAAUUUGCGGACAAGAAACUGAUGUCGUUGUCGCGCCAUUGAUUUUGUAAAUGCAUCAGCUAUUUGAAGAUCACUGGACACGUGCGGAAGAGUAAUGGCACCUUUAUCUACAGCUUCUCGUAUAUAAUGACAGUUUACUUUGAUGCGUUUGGUCCGCUCAUGAUAAACCGGAUUAGUAGCAAUCUGAAUAGCACUUGUAUUGUCAGCAUGGAGAGGAGUAGGAUUAGAUUGAGGAAAUCCAAUCUCAGCAAGUAGUCCACGAAGCCACACAAUCUCGGAGCAAGCAGUAGACAUUGCUCAAUAUUUAGUCUCUGUUGAAGAUUUUGAUACGCGGUCUUGCUUCUUACUCUUCCAAGAUAUCAAAGACUCUCCAAGAAACAUGCACCAACCAGUAACCGAACGACGAGUGUCAGAACAUCCCGCCCAAUCAGAAUCACUAAAAGCAUUAAGACGAAUAGGCGAACCACUAGGAAAGAAUAAUCCACGAUUAGAUAUUCCUUGGAGGUAUCGAAUGAUGCGACGGACAGCCACCAAAUGAAGAUGACGGGUAGCUUGCAUGAACUGACUAACUCGUUGAACUGCAAAAGAGAUAUCAGGCCUGGUAAUAGAAAGGUAAUUUAAGCUCCCAACUAAUUGUCGAAAUAUAGUUGGAUCAGGAAAAAGAUCGCCUUCCUCCCGGCGAUACUUUACAUUCAAUUCUAAUCGAGUAUCCACAGAAGAAUCCUGAAGACCUGCCAAAGAAAUCAAAUCUUGGGUAUAUUUGUGUUGAUUUAGAAACACACUGGAUGAAUCACGAUGAACUUCCAAACCAAAGAAAUAUGUAAGAGUACCGAGAUCUUUCAUAUUAAAAGAAUCCUUAAGUUGCUGUUGCAGGCUAGUGAUUAGUGAAGAAUCCAUUCCUGUAAUAAUAAUGUCAUCGACAUGUACAUGUACCAAAAGAAGAACACAACUUGUGGAUGUUUUCCGAAGAAACAAAGAUGAGUCAUAGUUGCUCUACUCAAAAGAGAAUUAUAGCAAAGUAGACCGAAAUUUGUCAAACCAAGCUCUGGGAGCUUGUUUUAAUCCAUACAAAGACCGCUUCAACUUGCAUACAUCUGAUGUAGGCAAUGAGAACAAACCUGGUGGAGGUUUCAUAUAAAUAUCCUCUUUGAGAUCACCAUGAAGAAGAGCAUUUUUGACAUCCAUUUGAUGAAAAGUCCAGUUUUGUUAAGCAGCAAUGGCAACAAUAGUUCUCACCGUUGUCAUUUUUGCUACCGGUGCAAAAGUCUCUGCAUAGUUCACACCAUACUCCUGCUUGUUACCAAGAACAACCAACCGAGCUUUGUAUCGAUCAAGAGUUCCGUCAAAAUGAAAUUUAAUUGAAUAAACCCAUUUACAUCCAAUUGGAUGGACAUUUGAAGGACAUGAAACAAUAUCCAAUGUGUCAUUUUCUUUGAGAGCCAAAAGUUCUUCCUCCAUUGCCUUCUGCCAACAUUCAUGCUUAGAAGCUUGUGAGUAACAAGUUGGAACAUAAAUGGUGGAUAAAGUAGAUGAAAAGCCAUACCAAGUAGGAGUACGAGAUACUCUCGUAGAUCGUCGAGUGGGCUCAAGAGGAGCAGGCCUUGAAGAAUUCUCAGAUUCUAUUUGUGGUGUAGUUUCAGGUGGCGGAUAAAUAUCAAGAGGGGGUAAAGUUGGCCGCCGACGUUCGUACACAAAUCCGGGUUUGAACCUCUUAGAAGAUGAUGACAAAUCUUCAAAAGUAGGAAGAAGAAGAGAAGCAGGAGAUGACUCAAAAUGAGUAGAAAAAAAAAUACUGAUUCUCAAAGAAAACAACAUUUCUAGAAACAUAAAAUUUAUUAGAACAUGGAUCAUAACAGAGAAAACCUUUCUGUGAAGUAUUAUAACCCAUAAAAACACAUUUAGUAGACUGAACAAAAAGUUUAUUAUGCUGAGAAGGAGGAAGAUGCACAAAACAAAUACAACCAAAUGUAUGAAAAUUAUCAUGGCUUGGAUUUUUGUGAUAAAGACGGAAAGAUGGAGACUCAAGAUUUAACACUUCAGACGGCAGCCUGUUAAUUAAAUAGACAUCAGUAGACAAAGCUUCAACCCAAUAUUUAGAUGGGACAAAGGACUCAAUCAAUAAAGUACGAGUGACAUCUAAAAGAUGCCGAUUUUUACGCUCAGCGACCCCAUUUUGUUGUGGAGUAUAUGGACAAGAGCGUUGUGAGACAAUUUCUUUGUCAAGCAAAAAAUUUUUGAAUUCAUUUGACAUAUAUUCUCUACCAUAAUCAGAUCUUAAUAAUUUGAUACCCGUAGAAAAUUGAGUCUCAAUGUAAGCCAAAAAUAUCUUGAACAUGGAAAAUACUUCAGAUUUGGUACGAAGAAAAUACACUCAUGUCAAUCGACUAUAAUCAUCUAUGAAUGUCACAAAGUACUUGAACUGAGCAUGAGAAACAAUUGGUGAAAUACCCCAAACAUCACUAUGAACAAUAUCAAAACACUUUGUAGCACGACUACCCAAAUUAGGAAAAGGAAGAAUUUUACUUUUGCCUAAUUUACAAGUAGAACAAUCAAAUGAAACAGGGAAAAAUUGAUUUUUACUUCCUAAUAAACCAGAAUUUGAUAAAUGAGGUAACACAACAAAAUUUGAAUGUCCUAGACGCUUAUGCCAAAGCUCAGUCUUAUUAGUCGUAGAAGUACAAGCAAAAGAUAUAAUAGGAGGAAUGGAAAAUUCUCAAGAGUGGAACCAUUUAUUGCUGCAUGAAAAUUAUUUACCUUACGAUUCUGAGGGCGUGUGGGACACUCUUUGAUAAUGUGUCCUUGUUGUUUACAAUAAUUACAGAACUUCUUGCCACAAUUUCUAGUAAUAUGGCCAUAUUCCUUGCAAUUGUAGCAUUGAGUUCUAUUCAUAUCCCUACUCAUACCUUUACCUUGAGUAGCAAACGUAACAGUAACAUCAUUUCCUCUUCUGAAAGCAUUUUGUGUGACAUAACGUUGCUCUUCACGAAGCAAUUUCCUAAAACAAACAUUCAGGGAGGGAAACGGGUCACGAUUCAUCAAGUUAGAGCGAACACUCUCAAACUCAGAGCGUAGCUUCAUCAAAAAUUGAUCUCGCUUGCUUUGCUCAUGAACUUGUUGAAUUACAGAGAGAGAUUCAGAAGGUAUUUUGGCAUAAAUAAUAUCUGUAAAUUCAGCCCAUAAGUUCUGAAAUUCAGAAUAAUAAUCCUGAAUAGAAAGACUUCCUUGAGAGUAUUUAACAAUUUCAUACUCUAAGUGAAAGCGCCGGGCACUAUUAUCUUGGUUGUAAACCUUUUGUAAAUAAUCCCACAUGACCUUAGCUGUCUUGUAAGGCCUAAGAUUAGAAACAAUAAGAGGAUCAAUUGACCCUAAAAGCCAUGUCAUCACCCGAGCAUCUUUAAUCUUCCAUUCACCUAACUUUUUAGGAUCAGUAGGAGCAGGAUCGGCUCCAUCUAUAUGACCCCAUAGUUCUUUUCCGGUGACAAAUAACUGAAACUGAAACUCCCAUAACGAAAAAUUCUUUCCAGUGAAAUGAACACUGAAUGAUUCAAAUUGAUAUGAACUCAUAAUUAUGAAAACUAGAAACACUAACUCAAAAAGAACAACCAAAAUGACCAAGAUCAAAGUCCUAAGUUAGAGCGAGUAAAAGUCCCACAUUGUUUGGGGAAUGGACUGGUGGUUUGCUUAUAUGGACUUGGGUAAUCCUCACCUCUUGAGCUAGCUUUUGAGGUUGAGUUAGACCCAAGGUCUAUUUCUUGACAUGGUAUCAGAGCCAGGUCCAUCCUCGUUUUAGGCUUCCGGUCCACGCCCCAGUACCAGUUGGGCCUAGGCGUGAGGGGGGUGUUAGAGUGGGUAAAAGUCCCACAUUGGUUGGGGAAUGGACUACUGGUUUGCUUAUAUGGACUUGGGUAAUCCUCACCUCUUGAGCUAGCUUUUGAGGUUGAGUUAGUCCCAAGGUCCAUUUCUUGACACCUGAUAGCUUUCCACACUAUGCAACUAUAUGGAAUAUUUACCAUGUUAGUUGCCCAGUUGUCUCCUAACCCUUACUUUGCACAAAUCAUAUCCUUUCAUAACAUAUUGUCACUUGUCCCAAACUUUCACAACUAUUUCAUCGUGAGACUCUGGUUUUGCAACUUCAUAUUUUUCAUCCCCACCCCUUCUACCUUCUUUCCCACGGUCAAUUCCUCCCAUUUCACUAAGUGGAAUUUAUUUUUGUCUUCAGUACCUUUCCAGAACAAAGUUUCUUCUAAUUCUAACAAUCUCUUUAUCACACUAGCAGGGACAAGGAAAAUAGACAUCAUAUUGGCAGGUAGUGCAUCUAGUAUAUUGUUUGCGAAAUUCAGUCUACCUCCCCUGUAUGAAUAUUGGUUUUUCCCGCUUGUUAACUACUACUCACAUUUUUCAAUGACCUCGUUCUAUAUCCUUAUGGACUUGGUGUUUGCUCCCAAUGGCAUGCCAAGAUAAGUUGUUGGAAGUUGCCCUACUAUCCCACCAAGCUUUGUUGCCAAACUGUCCAGUUCCAACACCUCAUUAUGGGGUAGAUGAAACUCUUACUCCAGUUGAUGAGGAGACAGGAAACUGCUUUAAAAAUUAUAAAUAUGGACCUCAGUAUCAAAAUGUUCUCUUCCAUUGCUUCAGAGAAAAUCAGUGUGUCAUCUGCAUAUUGCAGGUGAGUGAUUUCUACGAUGUUGUCAUCAUAGAAAAGGUUUUAGAAAGAUAAAUUUGGAUUCAGACUGGGAAGAGAUUCAAUAGGGAGUAUUAGCAGGCUCUAAUAUUUGGUUAGAUUAACUGAAUUUCUGCCAAUACCAUCUUCCACAUAGUCAGUUUCCAAUGUAAUUGUGUAGCUGUUUUAUUCAUCAUGAUUCUUUCGGUGUUAGUUGGACUUUCUCUUGUGAAGAUGAAAUUGUUCAUCAAACUCUUGCUGAAACCUUUCAGUUAUGUUAAUUGUUCUCUUUAUUCUCACUACAAGAUGGGAAUGUUCGAGCUGUGUUGCUUAAAAAUAUCAAUUACAGAAGCACUCAUAACAUGGAAAGACAAUAAUCUGCUUUAACAAAUCAACUGGCAUUCUGUAAUAUGAUUUCAGGUGAAUCGAAUUAGGGAACUGCCUCAGGAUAGCAACAUAGUGGCCACACACACGGACAGUCCUGAUGUAAGCAUCUGCUUCUAAAUAUUUCAAUUUCAUUUUGUAGCCCUAUCGUACACAUUUGUUUCCUCCCUGGUGGUUGUUGUUUCUUUUUGGAGUCCAUAUCAGUAGUUAGUUCCAUUGAAAUCUUUAAAGUGACCUUGGAAAUUUUUGGAAUCAGGUUCUUAUUUGGAAUGUUGAGUCUCAGCCUAAUCGUAAUGCUACCUUGGAAGUAAAUAAUUUUUCUCGACCAGACUUGGUGGGUUUUCUAAACAACAGAUUCAGUUUGUCAACUUUGUAUUCUUAUAAGUAGUAACUGAUAGUCCAUAUUUACUUGCAGGUGUUGACUGGACAUCAAGACAAUGCUGAAUUUGCGCUUGCAAUAGGCCAUUCUGAGCCUUUUGUGCUCUCUGGAGGUUGACCGACCUAUCAUUGAAUGUUAUCUUCUUUCAAGGAUUUUGUGAUUAAUUUUAUUCCAAUUAUCAGCUCAUUGUUAGCUGCACGCUAUUAACAGAUAAUGUAUUGUUUUAUAACUGGUAGCCAGUUGGUCAUACUUACGAUGCAAUCUUCAGAAAAUUUCUAUUUCUUUUUAACUGUUCCCCUUAAUGACAUGUUCUGAUCGUUGGUGGUGGGUGGUGGAAUAUGUUUUUUGCAGCUUAUUCCUUGGAUAGCAAUUUUCAGCUACCUGGGUAACCCAUAUUCGUUACAAAACAAUCCCUUAUUUUUUUACGCCUGAGCAGAUUUAGUGUUGUAUUGCUUCUGGCUAGGUAAAAUGGGACCAAUAUAAUGGACACCUUCAUCCCCAUAAUCGUUCAAAAAGUAACAAUACAUGCCACAACCUAAUUGACGCAAUUUCAAAUCAAGGUUUGAUGAAGAACAUCAUGCUAUGGCCUAAAGUUAAAUUAUUGAAUGAAUGUGCAGUUUCCGUAAUAUUUAAGAGUUAUAUGGUAUAUUCUGUUUCUAGAAGAGUGUCACAUGAACUGUGUUGAAGGGACUAUAGUCUCUUCCUUAAUGGAGAUCUGUAGUGACCUAGGGAAACUUUUGGAACACAUCAGAGUUCAGCCUCUUACUAUCGUUAAUGCCUACAGUCAGUUAUUAUUACCUCCUUUAGUUCUUACCUCAGAUAUGUGAACUUUUCCAAGCUUGUGUAUAAUAAAGCUAAUGCAAUCAUGGAUUCAUAUUUUCAGGGAAGGAUAAAUCGGUUGUUCUAUGGAGCAUUUGUGAUCACGUGUCUACUUUGGCAGCAGACCAGGGUGAUGCAAAGUCUCCUGGAUCUGGAGCAAGUAACCCGAAACCUUCUGCAGAAGGCCCUACUGUUCAAGCUCGAGGUAUUUUCCAAGGACAUGAUGAUACUGUAGAAGAUGUUCAGUUUUGCCCUUCCAGGUAGCUAUCACCUCUCCCACAUUGUAUAAGAUGUUGAGUUUAGUCCUUCAGUUUUUUUUUUAGGAGUUUGUGAUACUUGAUGUUGCUUGGGUUAAUAAACCUUCGUGUAACGUGAGCUUGACUGAAGAUGAGCUAAUACUCGUAUGAGCUGUCAUGUCACAUGUCAAACUUUUUUUUCUUCCGAAUCAUGUCUUAGAAAUCUCAACCUUAAGCCAUUCUAUUCCUCUUUUCCUCUUUUUUGCCUGGAUGAAGUAGUUUACUUACCACUUUUCAAAUAAAAGAUAAAGGGAAAAAGUUGAAGAAGACAGAAGAAAGGCAAUUUAUUCAUCGCUUAUCCUGGC
Molecule: long non-coding RNA, 27297 nt
Filed under: Capsicum annuum
Lineage: Eukaryota; Viridiplantae; Streptophyta; Magnoliopsida; Solanales; Solanaceae
Description: long non-coding RNA (CANN_LNC003901)
Source: RNAcentral